GCGCCUGUAGCUCAGUUGGAUAGAGCACCUGGCUUCGAACCAGGGGGUCGGGAGUUCGAGUCUCUCCAGGCGCGCCA
Molecule: transfer RNA, 77 nt
Filed under: Gammaproteobacteria bacterium
Lineage: Bacteria; Pseudomonadati; Pseudomonadota; Gammaproteobacteria
Description: tRNA-Arg
Rfam family: tRNA
About the family: Transfer RNA (tRNA) molecules are approximately 80 nucleotides in length.
Source: RNAcentral